GGGAAGGAAGGGAGCGGAAAGGCCGAGCGCCACCCGCCCCGGGAGUCUCCAGAGCAGCGCGCGGGGCAGACCUCCUCGGGUCCUCCGGCGCUUCGGUCUCCGGAGACGCCCGGCCUCCUGAAGGGUUCGGCUUGUCCUCCUCUGGCGCUCAGCUCCCUCUGGCGGCCGGGCUGGCAGGACCUCAGCGCCCAGCCCUUCCGUCUUGUUACGUCCAGGGUCUCACUCUGUGUCUCAGGCUGGAGUACAGUGGUGCAAUUGUAGAUGGCUGCAGCCCUCGACCUCCUGGGCUCAAGUGAUCCUCCUGCCUUAGCCUCUCGAGUAGCUGGGAGUACAGAUGCACACCACCACACCCAGCCUAGAAUGAAGAAACCUGCAGUUGGGAAGCAUGAAUUUACCACCUAUUAAGAUCUGGCUGCUGUGUGGAGAAAGAGUGAAGAUACGGAAGUUGGAGGUUCUCGUAGCAAUGCAGAAUUGUGGCUUGCAUUGUAAGAGGAGCCUGUGAAUUCAGAGGCAAGUCUGCUGAGGACCGAAUGUUCCUGUCCAUAAAAACAGAAGUCUGGCCUGGGCUCCUCUCUUGGGUGAAUUUGCAAUGCCAGAUCCUCUCUAUCAGUUUGGUUUUGUUUCUUGUAUCUCUGGGAAGGCAGGCAGACAGCACGGUCACCUGUGAAUGCAGCUACAAUUGGCUUAGCUGCCUCACUGAUAAAUGUGCCCCCAGUAAGCUACAAAGGGAUUACCAGCGUUCUCAGCAGCUAAAGGAACUGGUGAAGAUUUCCCCAGCAAAAAGUAGAAGCUCAGUGUUUCAUAGAUGAAGACUGGGGAGAUUGCAAAAGACCCAUCCAGCAGUGGUUCUCAGACCUCAGUGUGCAUCAGAAUCACCUGGAAGGCUUGUGAAAACACGUAUUGCUGGGCCACACCCCCAGAAUUUCUGGAUCAGUAAAGCUGGGAUUCUUACUUUGAGUAGCCAACUUGCAGAAUACAAUAGAAUUUUGGGAGGAGCCCCUCGAUGCCUGGCUUUACUGUUGGAGAGACAGUACAGUAUACACCAGAUGACUUAUUUGUGAACCAUGGAAACGUUUGGAAAAGGACUGUUUCUGCCAUGCGUGUUACUCAUUGCCAUGGUGCUUAUGACAGUGAAGGAAAGAGUCUCACUUUGUCGCCCAGGCUGGAGUACAGUGGUGCGAUCUUGGCUCUCUGCAACCUCUGCCUCCCAGGUUCAAGUAAUUCUCCUGCCUCAGCCUCCCGAGUAGCUGGUACUACAGGCACACAUUUGUAGAGAUGGUGUUUCCCCAUGUCAUCCAGGCUGGUCUGGAACUCCUGGGAUCAAGUAAUCCACCCGCCUCGGCCUCCCAAAGUGCUGGGAUUACAGACGUGAGCCACCACGCCCUGCCAAUAAAAAGAUUAUCUCCAGAUGCUGGAAUGACCAGUAAUUUAUUUUCUUCCUUUUUUUUUGUCUGCACUUUCUACCAUAAUCAUAUGUUAGCUUCUUACUAAGAAGAAAAGUCAAUGUUAUUUCCCUGAAAAAGUAAUGUUGUUUGGUUAUUAAACAAAUUUAAUUUUCUAAACAAGAGUACGACAGGUAAACUGCCUACCUUAAAAGCAAACGAACACAAAUAAAUAAACUAACCAUCUUCCACUUCA
RNAcentral lists this long non-coding RNA (1638 nucleotides) under Homo sapiens (human). Its description in RNAcentral is "long intergenic non-protein coding RNA 466". Lineage: Eukaryota; Metazoa; Chordata; Mammalia; Primates; Hominidae. The record is from RNAcentral.